GAUCAUGGCUCAGGACGAACGCUGGCGGCGUGCUUAACACAUGCAAGUCGAACGAAGAGCGAUGGAAGCUUGCUUCUAUCAAUCUUAGUGGCGAACGGGUGAGUAACGCGUAAUCAACCUGCCCCUUCAGAGGGGGACAACAGUUGGAAACGACUGCUAAUACCGCAUACGAUCUAAUCUCGGCAUCGAGGAAAGAUGAAAGGUGGCCUCUACAUGUAAGCUAUC
RNAcentral lists this ribosomal RNA (225 nucleotides) under uncultured bacterium. Its description in RNAcentral is "partial 16S ribosomal RNA". It matches the Rfam family "Bacterial small subunit ribosomal RNA", at positions 15 to 216 of the family's 1533-position model. The record is from RNAcentral.